CCCCACAAUCCCAACGCCAGUGACUGUGCUUGAGGUGUGCUGAAGCCGACACGAGCGAGGAGCUGCGUCGAUGAAGCGCCACCACGACGAGCUGCGCCCAUCGAGCGAGGUCGUGGAGCGGCCAGCCUACGUCGGAGGCUGUUUGUGUCCUCGGCCUGACGACGAUGCGCAGAGGGGAUGCACUGGGACCCGAUGCUGGAACCGGCAUGGGGAUCUGCUUCAACCAGCGCCGGGAUUUCCUUCAACGCCGAGGAUGGUGGUGGACGGCGACAACGGUUGCCGUCGCGGAGGGGACAAUGUCGGGCGACCACGGUCGCGGGUGCCAUGAUUUUUGCUGCAUAGAUUUUUUGUUGGAACCAGCAUUUUGACUUGUUGCAAUCGGCAAGGAUGGUGCUGGGACGGCGGCGGCGACGACGUGAUUUUUUUUGCUGCAUUGAUCUUUUUCUUCUUCUUAGGAACCAUUUUUCAUUUUUGCUGGAACUAUAUCAAUUUUUUGUUGGAACCAUAUGUGUUUUUUGCUGGAACUAUAUUAAUGUAUUUCGCUGGAAUCAUAGCAUUUUUGCUGCAACCAUAUUAUUAUUUGCUGGAACCAUAUUAAUUAUUUGCUUGCUGCAACCACAUUAUUGUUUGCUGAAACCAUAUUAAUUAUUUGCUGGAACCAUGUGUUUUGCUUUCAAGCUGGCAACCGACGAACGGCGAUGCCGACGGCGAGC
RNAcentral lists this ribosomal RNA (713 nucleotides) under Triticum aestivum (bread wheat). Its description in RNAcentral is "partial small subunit ribosomal RNA". Lineage: Eukaryota; Viridiplantae; Streptophyta; Magnoliopsida; Poales; Poaceae. The record is from RNAcentral.